RNAcentral lists this ribosomal RNA (433 nucleotides) under uncultured bacterium. RNAcentral's name for it is "partial 16S ribosomal RNA". It matches the Rfam family "Bacterial small subunit ribosomal RNA", at positions 29 to 507 of the family's 1533-position model. The record is from RNAcentral.
AACGAACGCUGGCGGCAUGCCUAACACAUGCAAGUCGAACGAAACCUUCCGGCUUAUUGGCGCUCGGGUGCUUAACGCGUGGGAUGCUGCCCUUAGGUUCGGAAUAACUCCCCGAAAGGGGUGCUAAUACCGCUUAAUGUCUUCGCACCAAAGAUUUAUUGCGUUUGGAUGGGGCCUGGUUGGUUUCGGCAGUUGGUAGUGUAUAAGCCUACCAAGGCGACGUUGCAUAGCUGGUGUGGGAGGAUGAUUAGCCACACUUGGACUGAGACACGGACCAGAAUCCUACGGGAGGCAGCAGUGGGGAAUAUUGGAGACUGAGCGAAGGCCUGAUACAGCCAUGCCGCGUGAGAGAGGAAGGCGUUAGGGUUGUAAAGCUCUUUUACCCGGGAUGAUAGUGACAGUACCGGGUAAAUAAGCUCCGGCUAACUACGUG